AUCGACACGUUCUCAUGACAUGUCGUCGCCAUCGACAUUUCCGGCGAUCUUUUUCGGCCGGGAAGGAAGCUUCAGAGCCGUUGCGGCCGGACUGAC
Molecule: small RNA, 96 nt
Filed under: Sinorhizobium meliloti 2011
Lineage: Bacteria; Pseudomonadati; Pseudomonadota; Alphaproteobacteria; Hyphomicrobiales; Rhizobiaceae
Description: putative ncRNA
Source: RNAcentral